Molecule: transfer RNA, 84 nt
Filed under: Felis catus (domestic cat)
Lineage: Eukaryota; Metazoa; Chordata; Mammalia; Carnivora; Felidae
Rfam family: tRNA
About the family: Transfer RNA (tRNA) molecules are approximately 80 nucleotides in length. Their secondary structure includes four short double-helical elements and three loops (D, anti-codon, and T loops). Further hydrogen bonds mediate the characteristic L-shaped molecular structure. tRNAs have two regions of fundamental functional importance: the anti-codon, which is responsible for specific mRNA codon recognition, and the 3' end, to which the tRNAs corresponding amino acid is attached (by aminoacyl-tRNA synthetases). tRNAs cope with the degeneracy of the genetic code in two manners: having more than one tRNA (with a specific anti-codon) for a particular amino acid; and 'wobble' base-pairing, i.e. permitting non-standard base-pairing at the 3rd anti-codon position.
Source: Rfam by way of RNAcentral
GCCUGGGUGGUUCAAUUGGUUGAGCAUCUGACUUCGACUCAGGUCAGGAUCUCACAGUUCAUGGGUUCAAGCCCUGCCUGGGUU